This 270-nucleotide ribosomal RNA is filed under the name uncultured bacterium. Its description in RNAcentral is "partial 16S ribosomal RNA". It matches the Rfam family "Bacterial small subunit ribosomal RNA", at positions 793 to 1055 of the family's 1533-position model. The record is from RNAcentral.
GUCCACGCCGUAAACGAUGGGUGCUAGGUGUCGCGGGCUUUGACCCCUGCGGUGCCGUAGCUAACGCAUUAAGCACCCCGCCUGGGGAGUACGGCCGCAAGGCUAAAAACUCAAAAGGAAUUGACGGGGGCCCGCACAAGCGGUGGAGCAUGUGGUUCAAUUCGACGCAACGCGCAGAACCUUACCUGGGCUAGAAAAAUGCAAGGACCUGGUUGAAAAAAUCGGGGUGCUCUUCGGAGAACUUGUAGUUAGGUGCUGCAUGGCUGUCGU